UACGUAGGGAGCAAGCGUUGUCCGGAAUCAUUGGGCGUAAAGCGCGCGUAGGUGGCCUCGUAAGUCCGCUGUGAAAGUCAAAGGCUCAACCUUUGAAAGCCGGUGGAUACUGUGAGGCUAGAGUACGGAAGAGGCGAGUGGAAUUCCUGGUGUAGCGGUGAAAUGCGCAGAUAUCAGGAGGAACACCAAUUGCGAAGGCAGCUCGCUGGGACGUCACUGACGCUGAGACGCGAAAGCGUGGGGAGCAAACAGG
This 253-nucleotide ribosomal RNA is filed under the name uncultured bacterium. RNAcentral describes it as "partial 16S ribosomal RNA". It matches the Rfam family "Bacterial small subunit ribosomal RNA", at positions 524 to 776 of the family's 1533-position model. The record is from RNAcentral.